This 253-nucleotide ribosomal RNA is filed under the name uncultured bacterium. RNAcentral describes it as "partial 16S ribosomal RNA". It matches the Rfam family "Bacterial small subunit ribosomal RNA", at positions 524 to 776 of the family's 1533-position model. The record is from RNAcentral.
UACAGAGGUCCCGAGCGUUGUUCGGAUUCACUGGGCGUAAAGGGUGCGCAGGUGGGUUGGCAAGUUUGAUGUGAAAGCCCCGGGCUUAACCCGGGAAUGGCAUUGAAUACUGCUGAUCUGGAGGAUCGGAGGGGGGACUGGAAUUCUUGGUGUAGCAGUGAAAUGCGUAGAUAUCAAGAGGAACACCAGUGGCGAAGGCGAGUCCCUGGACGAUACCUGACACUGAGGCACGAAAGCCGGGGGAGCAAACAGC